UCUUUUCACGUUGGGUUUCUUUGCGAUUUUGACGACGCAAUUUCUUCUGCUCUUUUUUGGUCAAAUAUACUUUCAGGCAGUUGCGGUCGCUGUGCUCUCCAGGUGGCUUCAAUUGAACUGGAUGUUCAAUCAAAUUUGUAAUAAUAUCAAAAUUCAACGAAUCCAAAUCCACAUCAUAAGUUUCGCCUGGUAAAAUUACAGAAUCCCACCAUUCUACAUUUGGAACUUCUGCUUCUACCGAUUCUGCGACCCGAGGAACAACCAUGGCAAGUUUCACGGCUGAAGAUAUGCCUGUCUUUUUGGAAGCUAGUGAAAUCUCUUGCUGCAAUCGUUCGAGACGGCAUUUCGCACGCAAACGGUUUGCUUGUUUUACAUAUUCACCGUCUUGUUUGAAGGAAAACUCUCGACGAGCACGACCCGGCCCUUUUACUUUGACACGCUUAUCAAAAAACGUUGCAUUCUCUGUAACGCGAUCGUCCGUUGCUUGGGCAGUUUCUUGAACAGCUUUAUUGAACAAUGCGACCUUUUCAGCGCGAAUAUUAGCUUUCAAUGUUGGCUGUCGUUGUAUUAAUUGCACAGCACGUCCAUCUGUGUCUACAGUACGUCCUUCGGAAUCCAAAAUCAGUGGAGUUGGUUUGCCCGGCUGACGAGCAACAGCCUGAUAAUUCAUCAAAGCCGGCAGUUUGUUUGCAAUACUUUGCCUCAAUUCUGCCAUACGAUUCACCCUCAGCAAUGAUGCAUUCAUGAACUCUUUGGCUUGGUCCGGUGCUAUUUUGGACGGUUGCAGUUGCAACACUUUUUUCCGUUCUUCAAUCAUUCUCUGCGCUUUCAGCAUUAUUUCCUGCACUUUGGAAUUUUCCAGAGCAGGCUUCGCGCUAGCAGCAGAAGCGACGCUGUCUAAAUUGUCGGACGUCUUGAUUUCACUCGAUUUCUCAUCAUCAACACGGUCAAACCGACUCUUUCUGCCCGAUGGUUUGAUAAGUUGAGACGAAUCAGAAAAUACGGCGUUCAAAAUUUUUUCCACAUCUUCUUCUUCACUGUGCACUUCAAGCAACUUCUGUUUCAUUUUUGUUUUAUCAUAGCCACGAUGUGUUCGGAGCGCUCUCGUCGGUACGUGAAAAUCCGAGCGACGCCUGGUAAAUCUCGUACUUGGUCGUACUGAUAUCCGCAGCAGGUCUCCAAGGUGAAUAGCCCCUCUGGCCGAUAGAAUAAUGUAGGUAAGGGAAGUCGGCAAAACGGAUCCGUAACUUCGGAACAAGGAUUGGCUCUAAGGGCUGGGCCGAUCGGGCUGAGGUUUCAAGCGUGCAGUGUAUGCUUGGCUUAGUUGUGUUGAGGACUUGUUCACUUGCCACCGGUUGUUCGGCUGGUCGAGUGUAUUCGAGUCUGAAGCAGAGCUGGCCGACAGACCGGCACGUGCAGAACCUGAGCUGCGCGGCUGUCCGUUUUCGUGUACAGACCGUUUCGGUCGGCAUUCAACAGCCAACUUAGAACUGGCACGGACACAAGGAAUCUGACUGUAUAAUUAAAACAAAGCAUUGCGAUGGCCGAUGAUCGGUGAUGACGCAAUGUGAUUUCUGCCCAGUGCUCUGAAUGUCAAAGUGAAGAAAUUCAAUCAAGCGCGGGUAAACGGCGGGAGUAACUAUGACUCUCUUAAGGUAGCCAAAUGCCUCGUCAUCUAAUUAGUGACGCGUAUGAAUGGAUCAACAAGAUUCCUUCUGUCCCUAUCUACUAUCUAGCGAAACCACAGCCAAGGGAACGGGCUUGGCAAAAUCAGCGGGGAAAGAAGACCCUGUUGAGCUUGACUCUAGUCUGACUCUGUGAAGAGACAUGAAAGGUGUAGCAUAGGUGGGAGAUUGUCAAUUUGCCAUCGUUCACGCGAUGGUCCGGUGAUCGCCAAUGAAAU
RNAcentral lists this ribosomal RNA (1903 nucleotides) under Trichinella spiralis. Its description in RNAcentral is "eukaryotic LSU rRNA". The stretch from base 1203 to 1903 matches the Rfam family "Eukaryotic large subunit ribosomal RNA", at positions 1889 to 2495 of the family's 3401-position model. The record is from RNAcentral. Lineage: Eukaryota; Metazoa; Nematoda; Enoplea; Trichinellida; Trichinellidae.